CUUUUUGGUAAUAUUAUAACAAUAAUGGUUUUGAAGCAACAUCAAGGCAACAAGAUAUCAAGCAAAGAAGUCUCUUUUUCCUCCUCCUCCUGCUGGACACUGAAGAUUGUUUUUAUGUUGGAACUUUCAUUGCCCAGAAUGCAAGUUCAUAAAGGAGUGUCAAGUUUCAGCUGGAGGGAAGGUGGCCAGGACAGUUUUUCAGGUAUGCUUUCUACACUGCCUGCUUAAAUAGUGUGGGGGUUUAAUGGGGUUGCUGGGGUGAGUGAUGGCCAACUAGGACAACCGCCUAAGAUCCUGGGCCUUUGUUUACAGAUACAGGAGCCAAGUACUUUUAGGGAAAAGCUAUUGGCCCUCUUGUAGGCAAAUCUUAUUUGGCCACUAGGGUGUUUUUUUUUUUUUUUUUUUUUUUAACUGCUCUAGUUCAGAGUGGGCUGUACUAAUCAUCUGUGAGAGGCUGAAUGGAAACUUUUUAAAAGUUUCUUGCGUAAAACUCUGGUAGGAAUCAGUGGACUCUUGAGCCUUUGUAUUCCUUUGGGGUCUGACGUUUAUUUUUCCUGGGCUGUGUUCAGUCAUUCCCUUCAUGGUGACAGCAAGUAAUUCCCUAAAGCUUACAUAGUUUGAAAGAGUCUGGAAAUUCUCAGUUCAUUGUUCAUAAAGCUGUUUUAAGGAUUUUCAGUGAUUCAGGAUUCCUUCAACAUUGUUAGUACUAUGACUUCAAACAUUUAAAAAAGCAACCCCAAAUUACUGGAAACAAACAAAAAUCCUCAUAGUUCUUUUUGCCCUUUCUUGAUCAAUUUUCACUGUCACCCUGGCUAUAAAACCAGAACUCGGAAAAUAACUGUCUAACCAGCCACUUUAUCAAGGGACCUAAAUGGAAGAGACCAUAGUGGCUCAGAGCUUGAGGUGCAUUGCUCCCAUUUCACUUUUUUCUAAGUAAUUUGUAAUUGGUUUUGCUACAUAAAAGUGAGAAACUUGGCUUGGGGAUGUGGCUCGGUGGUAGAACGUUUUGCCUAGUAUAUGCAAGGCCCUAGGUCCAAAAAAAAGAGAGAGAGGAGAGAAACUUGUUUCUGGCACAAGUUACUAUAAACAAAGUUAGAAGAGAGCCAACAGGCUAGGAGAUUAUUUUUGCACUAUAUGUAAUAGAUGAUAGAUUAAUAUCUACAAUCUUUAGAGAGAUCCUACAAAUCAAUAAGAAAAAUACUAUAAACCCAAUAUAAAAUGGCAUAGAAUACAAAUAGGCAAGUUACAGCGAAGCAAACAGAUUUCAUCUAAGGAAUCACUCACCCUUAUGCCCAGAGUCUUCUAGAGAAGGAUUUUCAUUGCAAUGGUGAAUAUCCAUGAGUAGGGGUACUGUGAAAUUCUGUGUGGCUGUUAAAACAUUGAAGUAGGUUUUUGUGUCAGUAAAAAUAGAAAGCAUGGAACAGUAUGAAUAGGAGAUUCCUAUUCAUUUUGAAAAUCAUUCCUGUUUGACUUAGAAUGUAUACAAGUUACUUUAUAUAAUUUUUAUAGUAAUUUCCUUUAUUUAAGGCUGUAUUUUUCUAAUGAUGGCAUUAAAGAAUGAAAUGUUAACUUUUGCCAGUUUCUUAUAUAAGAUAGAAAAUAUAUAUUCUACAUCGUUACCUUUAUCCUUUCUUUGUUAAUGUACUUUGGUAUUAUAAAUUUUAGCUUCUGGGAAGAAUGUAGAGACUUCUCACCCUAUCUUCCCAGGAACUAAAAGGAUCCCUAAGGAAUGCUACUAUGUUGUCUGCAGUUGCAUGUUUUGGAAUGAUGAAUAAAGGAAUUCAAAGCUCAGGAUUCUUCUUUGCUAGGAUUUACUUGUUUUUGGUGUUCACAGCCUUGCAGAGCCUCCCUGCCUCUGACUCUGAUGCAGGGGCCUCUGCGUGGGAAGCCUUGCUUGUCCCAUGCUCUUAGAAAAGGAUGGGAAACAUGAGUGGCUCAGGAAAGCAAGGCUUAAAGCUGGCCUAGCCCAUGGGAGGAAACCUGUUCUUUGCAUCUGUCCUUGCCUCUCUUUUGGAGAGGCUUUCUCACUGGUUUUAACCUUGGUUCCAGACUCACCAACCUAGGUGAAAGAAGUCUUUGAAACUUAUUCUAGUUUUACCUAUUUUGCUGAAGUUUGAAGCUCCAAAACUCCAGCCUGGAAACAGCAGGAAUUCCAUCAGAAGGUGGCAAGGAUAUAUACUCCCUUGUCUUUCAAAGAUUGGCAGUGUCUCUGGGACAGAAGUGUUGCUUUGCUUACUCACAUUUCAGUGUCAGUGGACAUAAUGGGGAUUGUUUCAGACUUGUUACAUAAGCUGUUGUCUGAGGUGGAGAAUUUAGGGUAGUGUAAUAUAAAUUUAUUUAAAACAAAAACUUUGACUAGUUCUUCUUGUAAAGAGGGGUGAUAUAAUUCGUAUUCGUACUGGGAAAAAAAUCAUUCCAUUCCUUUGACCACUACAGAAUGGUGGUAGCAACAAGAGAGUAAAAGUUCUUAACUGUUCCUUGGUGCCGAUCAGGGAGAAACCUGGAGUGAAUGGUUCUUAGUGGGUUCCCAACUCUGGAAGGAGGAUGGAGAGCUAAGGUACUCUGAAUAAUAUAAGGGGAAUUUAGUCCCUACCACCAACAAAAUGUGAGGAGCAUGUGGAAUGGAUAAAAGGACCAAGCAGCAGGGUAAUAUAAAAUCUCUGUCUCUUUAUACUUUCAGGGAAAUCUGACAGACACAUGAUGCUUUGAGUGAGUUUGUGUGUACAUAUUUUUUCUUUGGAGUAAAGCAUGGAAAAAGAGCUGAGUCCCACAUCUGGGACUGCUUAGAGCAGAGAGAAGAGACCAGCCUCAGGAGGUGAGAUGUGAAAAAGAUCAAAGCUCUAGCAAGAGUUGGAGCAGAGCCAAAGAGACUACUAAGAGUAUUAACUGCUGGUAAUUUGCUGAGAUUCUGGGAAGACCAUUGGAUUUCUUCUUGGGAUGGGAGGAUCCAGGCAGCUUUUAAAAGAAUGCACAAUGACAGAUGCAGCUGACAUCUGAUUGUUGUAGUGCUGUAUAGUUCAGAAUGUUUAACAGUGGUUCUCCAAAAUCUUGCUCUGUGAAUGUUCCAGCUAUCAUAUUAUAUUCCUCUUUCUGCCCAGUGAAAGCUGUUUUCCGUUCAGACUUCAAAAGGGAAGCAAAAAAAAAAAAAACAUGUCCACACGGAGGACUUUGUCAUAUUUCUCCUUCCCUGUGAGUUAUGCAGAACCUGAGGAUGCUGGUUAAAGAGCCAAUGAGCUAUACCCUUCCCAGCCAUGCAAUUGCCGAGUAGGGUCUAUCAUUUAGGGGUAAAGAAAAAUUGGGAAAAAUCUUCUGUAAAAUCUUGGAACUUUAAAACUGUUCUGAGCAAGGACCUAAAUAAAUAGUAAGACUUCUGUUAGUAUCUUUUUUUUUUUUUUUUUUAAAGAGAGAGAGAAUUUUUUAAUAUUUAUUUUUUAGUUCUCGGUGGAUACAACAUCUUUAUUUUAUUUUUAUGUGGUGCUGAGGAUCGAACCCAGCACCCUACACAUGCCAGGCGAGCGCGCUACCACUUGAGCCACCUCCCCAGCCCUUCAGUUAGUAUCUUAAAGUAAGAAGUCAUGGUCUCUGAGCAGUGUGAAUCUAGUCAGUGCCACACUGAACUUAGUAUUUUUGCGCAUGCCUUAGCGGGGAAGACCUGGCUGAUGGAAGAACCUAUUGUAUGGUCUCAACACCCACUUUGAGAACAAUAGAGGUCAGUGAGCUUUGACUAUUCGCCAUUCUCCUUUCUUAAAUAAGAGCAUUUUUAUUUUCUUUAGGGGACCACUUCCUUUCCUAUUUUCAGAAGUGGUUCCAGUGGAGUAAGUUCAUCUCUUGGAGGACACAUAGUCAUGUGCCAGUCAGAGAAUAGUACUUGGCAGGCAGGGGCAUAGACCCACAUCCAGGCCAAUCAGGUCUCUCAGGGUUUUUGUUAGAACUAUUAAGAAGUGCACUCUUAUUUUCCUUUCCAGCUCGGUUGCCCUGACCCUACAGAAUGUAAGUCCCAUGCUGCUGGAGACCAUCUUGCCACCCUAAGGAGAAUACUGCCUAAGAAUGAAGGCAACACAGAUGACAGCUGAGCUGUGAGAUAGAGAAAACUGGAGAUCAGAUGGUGUCUUGAGUACCUGGAUGUAACCACGUGUUAAACUGGUGGAAUCCUGGACGCUUAUUUUGCGUGGACCUAGACUUUCCCUUUUUUUACCCCUUAUAGAAGUUUGAUUUGAAUCGUCACCUGCUGCCAGAAGUGUCUUAAUUAAUCCAUGUCAUAAAUGGUAUAUCAUUCUCUUACAGAGAAUAUGGUAUGGUUCACCUUUUUUUGGUGGGGGAUGCGGGGUACCAGGGAUUGAACUCUAGGGCAUUCACUCACUGAGUCAUAUCCCCAACCCUAUUUUUUGUGUUUUAUUUAGAGACAGGGUCUCACUGAGUUGCUUAGCAGCUCUCUGUUGCUGAGGCUGGCUUUGAACUCAUCAUCCACCUGUCUCAGCCUCCCGAGCUGCCGGGAUUACAGGUGUGUGCCACUGCACCCGGCUAGGUUCAGCUUUUUUCAACAGAUCCUUUUAUCUUAAAGUGCUGAAUUUGAAUUGUAAGUUUGUUAUAAAAAUCAAAUGAGACCAUACAUGUAAAGAACUUAGUAUUAUCUUUGGCAUAGUAAAAACCCAAUAAAUAUAGGAAGGAGGGAGGGAUAGGGGACAGAAGGAAACAAAGGUGCCAAAUUGAAAGAACCCUGAAGUCCUUAGGGUAAUAUUCUAAGAACCUUCAGACCCUAUCUGGUCAUACUGUUCUAAAUGCCCUUAGCACCCUAUACUUUCCCUUUAUAACCUUUCAUCAUGGUUGUGUUGUAAUGUUAUGUUUGUAUCUUAUUUUGAUUAAUACCUGCCUUCCUGAUUGACCUGGGUUGUUCACAGUUCCAUCUCAUCACCCAUUCUAGUAUAUCACAUUUGGCAAAUAUUUUAAAUGGUCACAUACAAUUAUCCAAAUUGGACUGAUCACUUUGAUUCUUGGGGGGGGGGCGGUCAGGAAUGUGGCAACAUUGGCAAAAUCAGGGAAAGAAGACAUUAACCCUCCUUAAUCUACUGCAUUACCCACAUUCAACAUACAGAGAAUUUUGGCUCAGUGAAAUAUUUCUUUUUGGUUGUGAAACCCUUUACCAGACCACUAGUUCUUAUAUUUUUAUUGGACCAUUUUGUGAAAUAAUUGAAUAAUGUGUUUCUGGCUUAAUAUCUGGAAAGCCUUGCAGAGAAGCUCUUUGUGCUUGAAAUCUUCCUUGCUCCUGUGUCUGUCAGGCACCUGUUUAACUGAGGUAGUCUUCCCUCCCUCAGACUCUUGCAGAAAUAUGUUGCAGGUUGAAGGAAGGCCGGGAAGCUGAUGAGGGCAAGGUCCUGGCCUUUGGAGACUUCACUCCCUAGCAAAAAACAAAAGCAGUAAAAGGUACCCCUGGUAAUCUGGCACUCAAUCUUGAGUACUUUUUUGGUGAGGGCAUUUAUUAAAUAUGAGCCCAGGCCCCCACCCACUGCCAUUUCCUCUUAGCCAGGUUGCCUCUCAUCCCCUAGCCCACUUUCCCUGAGGUAUGUGUGUGGGGGAUGUUCCCAGGGCCCAUGUAACUUCCACUGGCAAGUGACGAUUACAGAUGCUUUACCAGUCAGUAAAGCUGCCAAAGGCUUUUGUACUGUAAUAAUCCUUUUCCUUUUUAAAACUCCAGGGUUUUUCUACUGUUGCCAAUAGUUUUGCAAGUCAGCAAUUACGGUGUGGAUUAUGUAAUUGCUGGGUAGUAAAAAUAGAAAAGGCCAGGGUUUGCAUCUAUUUUAACCAAAUCAAAACAGAGCAAAGGGAGGGGAAAGGAGAAGAGGGAAAGACCAAAGGAGGAGGGGAAAAGACAUCAUGUGACAAGCAGCAGUAUGAUUGCAUCUUGUGACUGGAUAAUACAGCCACAAUUUAUGUGCCUUUUCCCUGCCAUUUUUGACCCAAAGUCCUGCACUUCUUUCUUUGGCCUCUCCAUGGAUGGGAGUGCUGCCAGUAGUUCCUUCAGAGGAUACAAGAUCCCCCGUGGAUAAUCCUUAGCUCAGUCCUGUUGUGUUUACCUGCUUCUGGCAAGCACAGUGGCUCAGGGAGAGGGAGUUGAAUUUGACAGCUCCCCUCAAAGUCCAGGUCUUUGUGUCUGGAUUUCCAAGGUCUUUGUAGUCAGCUUAUUUUCUUGUGCAGUGGUGGAGCCAAGGAGUGGCUUAUGGGGAGAGUCUGGCAUACCAAAUCCCUAUCAGUCUUAGUCAAAGCUACCCUAAAUAAAUAUGCAGUGUAAUUACAAACCAUGUAUUCUCUGAAAACGGCUUCUAGAUAGACACCCUUAAUUCUUCCACUUCCCCACUCACACUUCACUCCUUUGCCUUCUGUGCCCCCGAUAAAGGAAUUUCAGGGCUUCCACUCAUUUGUUCUUGUGUAACUCUGCACCAAUCCCCUACUCCUACCCUGAGUUAAGAGUUAUAUUUAUAUUUCUCUAGAGACUUUUUGAGCAACUUUAAGGACCCUAAUGGUAAAACUUUAGGUACCAGGUGGAUCUAGAGCAGGGAAGAUAUUUUUGGAAAGAAGACUUCUAAGGGCCUAAUAGAUUACAUAAAAACACACUCAGGCUUCCUGUGAUAUUACCUCCAGAGGUAACCAUAGAGGGAGGUUUUGAGUUGGUCACUUGUUAACAGCCCUUGAGUCUGUAUAAAGCCCAAGCAGAAAGCCCUCUACCUCCUAGGUCUCUGAUGUUAGAGAGUGGUGGAUACUUUGAAGAAGGCAGCUCACUAAUUUCCAAAACUGAACCUAUAGAAGUUCGGUAGGGUUAGAGGGGGACCCAGAAGUUCAGAUGGUAAAUAGACCCAGUCACAAGUAACACUAGAAAGUUGUUUCCUCACCAUUCUUCAUCAUUACUUCUGUAUACUCCUCUAUAUACCCAUCAUACUCCAUUCUCAGAGCCCUCAUCUGUACUGGAGUGGCAGAGUGUCAGCAGUUCAGAAUAAUACUGGUUCCAGCUCCAGUUAGCCUUACUUAGCCCCACCCGUCCUGCCCAACCUGCUUAAAGGUCAAUAGUUCUUAUUCUGGUUUUUAGGCAUUUCAUGAGAUAGGUGGGAGUAUCUGGGGACCUACCUUAGGGAUUUUCAGUUACAGUUCCCUGAACUGGCUAAUGUUCAUGAUGUGGUACCUCUCUCUUACCCUUGUGGAUUUUUCAUUUCCUAGAGCUAGAUUUCUAUUCACAUUUGCCAAAGAUCGACUUUGGUAAGAACCACCAAAUAUCUUCUAUGAUCCAGAUUUUUAUCCUCCUAACUAUGUUCGUUCAUGUACUUGAACAAACCUGGUUAUGUGUCCUGGACUUGGGUUUGGUUGACAUCAUUGCAGCAUCAGUUUUUCUGUAUCUGGACAGGCUGGUCACUCCAAACAUCAGCGGAAGUUGGGCGUCUCGGAGAAUAUCUGCCUUCCAGUUCCCAUCUUAUCUCCCAGUCUUUGAGCAAGGUAAGGAGUCCAUGGAAUUACCUGCUUUAGGAACAACUAAGGGCUGGGGGGUCAAUCCAAGACUAAAUUUCUGUCAAGAUCCACAAAGGAAGACUUCCUACCUGAAUUCAACUUGUGUUGACUCCUUUCCACCCACCCCAUGGAUAGAACCAUAAAGAGACAUCAACUUGACCACAGUAAUGUCAGGUACACUGGUCAUCCCCUUCUUUUCCUGAAGGAGAUGGCUCUUUUUGUCAUUAAAAUAUUUAAUGGUUUUCUACUUCCCAACACAUACAUGCUUGUAUGUGGUACUCAUAGUGUGUAUUUUUGGAGAUACUAAGUUGUUCACAGUUGGAAUAGAAUGAAUAGCAAAUUUAACUACAUUUAACUUUUACUCAUCCAACUAUACUGACAAAUUUGAGACACAGUAUUGUUUAUAUAUGUGAGACAUUUAUUUGGAUUACAAACAGAACAAGAUACGAAAUGAUGGAUCAUUUGGGUUAGCUCUAGUACCAGGGCUCAGAGCUAGACAACUAUCACCUGUUACUGCAUAUCCUUUACCCCUGGGGUCCCUUUUUUGUUCGUAAGAUCAUACUGAGAAAUGAGUUUGAGGAAUGGGCCAAGACAGGCAUAGGGUUAGGCCUCAGGACUUUACCUCUUUGCUGAAUUCUUCAGGCUGAAAUUGCCAGGAGCCAGGAGAGGGUAGGAUGUUGGGUGAGGUAGCAUGGCACCUGGAGCUAUUCUUUUCUUUCAACAGAGGAUGGGGGUAAGGAGGGGAGGCUCAGAGGGGGAAGAGGAGAAUAGGGAAGAAGGAAAGCAGUGAGUGAGGAGGGAAUUGUGGGAAGGGCUAAGUGAGGUGGGUGGUUUGCUACUCUUGAGGAGGUGAGAAGGGAUGUAUUGGCAGCCUGGUUCAGCCUUGGAGUAACCUGACUUCAGGGAACAGACCAGUCCCUCUGCUAUACUCUCAACAUCCUCUUUCCUUCCAAACAAGACUGACAAAGUCCAAGGUCCAAAGUUCCAACUCUUGUCAUAGAAGACCACAGCUGAGGAACGACUUACUAGUGCUUAACUACCUCGACAAGUGUGUAUUUUAAGAGGAAACUCCAGGAUAUUACCUCUAUUAUGACUUUAAGUAUUACUAAAACUAUUAUUUAUUCUCUAAUUGAUUUUGAUAAUUUUAAUUCUCAAAAAAGUCUUGAGGCUAUUAAUAUAGAAUUUUUUAUAGUUUCAUAUCUAUUGUAUUUUAUCUUUUUCAUUCCUAGUGUCACUUAUUUGAUGCUGUGGUCUUUUUUCAUAAUAAUUUUUGUUACUCAUCUGCCUCUUAAGAAAUCAGCUUUUGUUUUAGUCAUCUCUUAUUUGUCUUCUAUUUCCUUAACUUUUUUUGGAGGGGGGGUACCCAGGGGGGCUUAACCACUGACCAAUAUCCCCAGACCUUUUUAUAUUUUAUUUUGAAAGAGGGCCCCACUAAGUUGCUCAGGACUUCACUAAGUUGCUGAGGUUGGCUUUGAAUUGUGAUCCUCCUACCUCAGCCUCCCGAGCCUCUGGGAUUAUAGGCGUGCACCACAGCUUUUAUUUUUUAAUCACUUAAAUAUUUAUUCUGUAAUAAAAAAUAAUAUAGAGGGUCACUUUAUCUUAUAAAAUAAAAAGACUAAUAACCCAAAAGAAUGGAAAAAGUUUUUUAAAAAAAGAAGUCUACAUGGCUUAUAAACAUAAUGCAAAGAAUAAAGUAAAAAAUGCAUGUUUUAAUGGUAGACCUCCAGGCUUGAGUGGCAUUUUGUCUGCUGGGUACUAGGGAUUGAACCCAGGGGCGCUGAAGCACUGAGCCAUAUUCCCAGUCUAUUUUAUUUUUUAUUUUGAGACAGGGUCUCCAGUCUUGUUUAAUUGCUGAGGCUGGCUUUGAAUUGUGAUCAUCCUGCCUCAGCCUCCCAAGAUGCUGGGAUUACAGGCAUGUGCCACUGUGCUUUGCAAUUUAGGCAUCUUGUUGCCAGUGCCUGGUGAAGGGACCCCUGGACUUCAGACAGAAGGUGCCCCACUACAGCCCUCUCUUUUAUAUUUUGGUGUUUUCUCCCCUGUAAAUUGUAACUGAUUUUUUAAAAAAAAUGGCUCCACCUGCCUUUACUUCACUGUUGUAUCACAUCAGAUAUGGAAUGUGAAAAAGAUAAGACACCUGAACUCCUGUUUAAGCUCUGGCAUUAUUAUUCUCCCACUGGUGGGCUGCAGGCAGGGGUUGUGAACCCAGCCUAGCCUGGCAGAGCUACUUACCAGGCCUUGCCACUAUUGCUAGAGGAAAAUGAUUUUGAGGGUCUUAUUCUCUCUUUAGCUUGCUAUGCCUGAUGUCUUAUCUCUUCAACUAAGUUUGUUUGGGGAGUUUUAUAAUUCUGCAUUCAGUGAAGUAAAUGGAAGGGUAGGUGUGUUGAAAACAGGGUCCAAGAACUGGAAGACAGGAACAGAUAGUCUGCAUCAGAGGUUCUCAGAUGUUUUGCUCUUAGAAACAUUUUACUCCUCCCUUUUAGCUUUAUUGUGGUAUAAUUAAUAUACAAAAAAUAGCCCUCAUUUAAUGUGUACAUUUCAAAUUUGAACACAUGAAUACUCUUGCAAUUCUCUACCAACUAAGGUAGAGAAAAUGUAUCUAUUCCAAAAUUUUUCUUGUUUUCUUUUGUUUGUAUGUGGCUUUUUAGUGGGAGGGGUGAGAAACCUAAGAUGAUAUGUAUCCUCUAAACAUAUUUUAAAGUGCACAAUACUGUAUUGUCAAUUAUAUGGACAAUGUUGUAUGGCUCUGUUGUAUGAUAAAUCUCUAGAACUUAUUCACUGUGUAUAUAGAAGGGUUAAAAAAACAUGGUAUAAACAUACAGUAGAAUAUACAUACCAAAAUGACACACACACACAUAUAAAAUUUAACAAUAAUCAUGCCAUCUACAACAACGUGGGUAAACCUAGAGGGCACUGUGCCAAGGGAAACAAGUCAGACACUGAAGGAAAAACACUGCAUGAUUCUACCCUUAUGAGGCAUAAGGAAGUGAAUAGAAUGGUGGCUAUCAGAAGGUGUGGGGAGGGAGUAAUAUGAAAUCAUUUUUCAAUGGUCAUCAAGUUUCCAUUAUAUAAUUUAAAAAAUUUAAUUGUGGUAGAAUAGAUUAUAAUAUAAAAUUUACCAUCUUCACUAUUUUAAGUGUACAGUUCAGUGGUAUUAAGUAUAUUUACUUUAUUGUGCAACCAUCACCACCAGCCAGCUCCAUAACUCUUCUCAUCUUAACUGAAACUAUACCCACCAAAUAACAACUCCCCUUUCUCCCCUCCCUCUUCUAACCACCUCCCAUACUGUCUAUUUCCAUGAAUCUUAUUAGACACCCCAAGUGUGUGGAACCAUAGAGUGCAUCUCUCCCUGUGACCAGCUACGUUACCCAGCACAGUGGUUUCAGGCUUCAUGUUGUAGCAUGUUUCAGAACUUCCUUCUUUAUAUGCCUAAACAACAUUCCAUUGUAUGUAUAUUCCAUAUUUUGCCCAUCUGUUCAUUCUUCGAUAACACUUGUACCUUGCUUGCUAUCGUGAUAAUGUUGCUGAAAGCAUGAGUGUACAAAUAUCCCCAGCCUUUUUUCUUAUUUAUUUUGAGACAGGGUCUCUCUUAAGUUCCCUAGGCUGCGCUCGAACUUGCUAUCCUCCUGCUUUAGCCUCCCGGGUUGCCGGAACUAUAGUUGUAUGUCACCAUGCCUGUCGAGUUAUUUGAAUAGUAACCACUUAUCAAUAAUUUGCAGAAAUAUUUUCCUAUUCUGUAGAUUGUCUCUUUCUUCUGUUUAUUGUUUCAUUUGCUCUGUCCUUUAGGGUUUUUUCCUACAUUUUUUAUUGGUGCAUUAUAGUCAUACAUAAUGGUGGGAUUUGUUACAUAUUUGUAAGUGCACACAGUAUAAUAAUUUGAUCAGUAUCACUCCCAAGUAUUUUCCCUUUCCCUCUCCCCUCCAUCCCCCUGGUACUUUUCCUCUAUUCCACUGAUCUCCUUUUGAUUUUCAUGAGAUCCUGCCUCCCACCAACCUUCUUUUCCACAAAUGUGAGAAAACAUACCACCCUUGAAUUUUGAGUCUGACUUAUUUUGGUUCACAUAGUUUCCUGCCAGUGACAUAAUUUCAUUCUUCUUUAUAAAAGCAUUUUGGUUUGAUGGAAUCCCAUGUGUCAAUUUUUGUUUUUGUUGCUGGUGCUUUUGGAGUCAUAUCCAGAAAAUCUUUGCCCAGACCAAUAUUGUGGGCUUUUUCCUUUUUGUUUACUUCUAGUUGUUUUGCAGUUUCAGGUCUUACAUUUGUCUUUAAUCCAUUUUGAGUUCAUUUUUGUGUGAGAUUAAGGUUUAAUUUCAUUCUUUGGCUUAUGUAUAUUCAAUUUUCCCAGUGCCAUUUAUUGAUGAAACUGUCUUUUCCCUGUUGUGUGUUCUUUUUUUUCUUUUUUUGUACUAGGGAUUGAGCCCAGAGAUGCUCUAUCACUACCACUGCACUGAAUCCCCAGCCCUUUUUUUUGUUGUUGAGAGAGAGGGUGUUGCUAAAUUGCCUAAGCUGACCUCAAAUUUGUGAUCCUUCUGCUGGGAUUAAAGGUGUGUGCUGGUGUUCCUGGCAACACAUAAUUGUUUUUCUUGAGGUGAAAGGCUCACUUCAUUCAUUUCCCUGAAAACAUCUGAAAGAUAUACGAGUAUGAAGAAGCAUAGUCUGUUAGUCCUUUAUACAAAAAUGAUGUUCCACAAAACAAAACAAAACAAACAAAAAAACAGGUAGUUCAGCUUGCAAAAACAAUUGUACAAGUUCUUCCUGGACUUCUGUUUUCAAAAUUGCUUUAUGAGCAGACUGUUAGCAAGACAGGUAAUUAAUAGUCCAGUUUUAAUAAAAUUAAUGGUUAUUAAAAUAUUAUCAUGGACUUUUGUGUGUGUGUGUGUGGUACUAGGGAUUGAACCCAGAGGUGCUUAACCACUGAGCCACAUCCCCAGUCCUUUUUAUUUUUUAUUUUGAAACAGGGUCUUGCUAAGUUGCUUAGAGUCUUGCUAAGUUGCUGAGGCUGGCCUGGAACUUCGAUCUUCCUGCCUUAGCCUCUUGAGUUGCUGAGAUUACAGGCAUGCACCACUGUACCUAGCUGUUAUGGACAUUCUUAUAUGAAACAACUUAAAAGUUUAAAAACUUCAAC
Molecule: long non-coding RNA, 12609 nt
Filed under: Marmota monax (woodchuck)
Lineage: Eukaryota; Metazoa; Chordata; Mammalia; Rodentia; Sciuridae
Source: RNAcentral